RNAcentral lists this ribosomal RNA (454 nucleotides) under Listeria monocytogenes. Its description in RNAcentral is "bacterial SSU rRNA". It matches the Rfam family "Bacterial small subunit ribosomal RNA", at positions 1078 to 1533 of the family's 1533-position model. The record is from RNAcentral. Lineage: Bacteria; Bacillati; Bacillota; Bacilli; Caryophanales; Listeriaceae.
GGUUAAGUCCCGCAACGAGCGCAACCCUUGAUUUUAGUUGCCAGCAUUUAGUUGGGCACUCUAAAGUGACUGCCGGUGCAAGCCGGAGGAAGGUGGGGAUGACGUCAAAUCAUCAUGCCCCUUAUGACCUGGGCUACACACGUGCUACAAUGGAUAGUACAAAGGGUCGCGAAGCCGCGAGGUGGAGCUAAUCCCAUAAAACUAUUCUCAGUUCGGAUUGUAGGCUGCAACUCGCCUACAUGAAGCCGGAAUCGCUAGUAAUCGUGGAUCAGCAUGCCACGGUGAAUACGUUCCCGGGCCUUGUACACACCGCCCGUCACACCACGAGAGUUUGUAACACCCGAAGUCGGUAGGGUAACCUUUAUGGAGCCAGCCGCCGAAGGUGGGACAGAUAAUUGGGGUGAAGUCGUAACAAGGUAGCCGUAUCGGAAGGUGCGGCUGGAUCACCUCCUUU